RNAcentral lists this transfer RNA (65 nucleotides) under Ibalia sp. ZJUH 20220011. Its description in RNAcentral is "tRNA-His". The record is from RNAcentral. Lineage: Eukaryota; Metazoa; Arthropoda; Insecta; Hymenoptera; Ibaliidae.
AUUUAAAUAGUUUAAUAAAACAUUGAUUUGUGAAAUCAUUAAUAUAUAAAAUACUAUUUUAUAUU